GCGCUGCAGGGACUUUUCCACCUGGGGGGAAAUUGGGGGUGAGUCAGAGACCCAGGCAAGCCCUGGUUUCUGUCCAUAUGGCUUUGAGGGUACACAAAGCCCCAGGGGUGAAGCAAGGCUGACUGCUGCAACCCCACGUGGCCCACAUGGCCAGGCCUGAGGAUGUGACAGUGGGGCACUGACCAGGCAUCUUGCGAGGGAUGAAGGGAAGGAUUUUACAAUCAGAGCCCUCGAGGGCUGGUGCAACAGAAGGAUUCUGUCCCUCCCCUAAACCAACCCCUUGCACACUCUCCACAGACAGUAAAGCAACAUGUCUGAACACACAGGGGCCUGCCUCAAACCCUGUAAUGGCUCCUGCCCACUAGGGAUAAACCCUCAGGCCCUUCAGGAACCCCCUCGCUGCCCACAGCCCAGCAUCAUCAUGGGGUCUUGGCUGGCAAUGCCCUUCUUCCCCAUUCCUCCCACUCAGCCUUCGUCCCUCCGCACUGGCCUCUGGAGCCUAUACCUCCCUCCACCGGGAAGUGUCCUCCUGUCAUCCAGGACCUGAACAGUUGCCUGGCACUUCUACGCUGGUCACCCAAGUCACUGCUGCAUGAACUACAUGAUAAACACUGGGAUGCCGGAGCACAGGCGUCCAGACAGGAGGAAGUGUGUACUCACAUCAGCCAGGAGGAAACAAGCCUGCCCGGGAGGACAGAAGAUCAGCCCUGGCUGUCACUCAGGCAGGGCGGGCCUCCAAGACACUGCCUACUGGAUCAAGGAAUAUCCAGGAGGUGUUAGAAGAGCAGGAGAAGCAGGUGAGCAGCCCUCCGUGCCUGCCUGUGCAUGCUCCGCCUGGCAGAACCAAGGGAUGGCCGUGAGCAUGACCAAACGCCUGACACCAGCACCUGGGGCUGCCAGGCAGCCACCCCUGCAGCUGUGUUGUUUGCUGGCUGACAGGGCCUGGCAGUGCUGUGGCUCCACCCCAGGGCUGACCCACCUUUGGAAAAUGACACCAGCAGUAUCAGGAUGUGUCAACUGGAUUUAUGUUAAGAAAACAGGAUUUUCAGUAUUCCUCUUUUUCCCAAAGUUUGAGACACUUUCAGACACUCUGCUUUGCAGUUAUGGCUGAUGUUACCCAUGGGGGGCGGGGGACUUUUGCUUUGCUCUAAAUUUUCGUAACACCCUGGGGAGUUUCGGGGGCCAAUGCUGAGAGAAGACCACAGGCUGACGCAUCAUGACGCAUGUGGGUAAAACAGUCCCGGCUGGCUGAGAGGCCAGUGAGGGAAUAGGCCCAGGGUUUGGUUUGUACUCUGUGAGUCUUGGCCUGGCAGGGUCUUCUGCACAGCAGAGCCCUCUGAGUGGCUGCUGUGGGCAACUUUCCACAGGGACCCCAGGGGAAGCAGGUUGUUGCCUAGAGCUGAGGGCAGCUCUGUACGUGCCUGCCUUCCCACCUCCCCUGUGACCAGAUGUCACAGGAACAUUCUCUCUUUACUCCCUAGACCCUCCAGGCAGGCCCACUAAGAGAAUGUAUUCUAGAACAUGCAGGGCCUGAAGCUUCACAAAAUAUUCAGUACACUCCUUAUAGAUCUUCUCAAAUGUGGACCGGGUGGUGUCAUCAGCACCACCAUCAUCCCCUUGUUACCGCUGAGGACACAGCUUCAGAGAGCGUAAGUAACCUAUCUCAGGCCACACAGCCAGGACAUGGAGCUAGAUCCAUCCUAAGUCUUUCUACCACACACUCCUUUCUACAGUCAUGGUUUAAGUGAGGGUGCAAUGGAAUGGGUCAUCCAGUGUACACUGACAUCAGGAGGAGUUUCACAUUCACACUCCCAUGGCAAAUGGUUCAGUUGCUCCCUGGUCCAAAGAUGAUCUUAAUAGUAGGAAAAAUUCAUUUGGCAGAAGGAAAACUCAGCACACAGGCUCUCUCCCUGAGUCUUCUGCAGCUGGCCCUGCCCUGCCCUCCCCUCCCCUCCCUAACCCCACUUGCAGAAUAAAGUCAGGGGGCUGUGAGGACUGAGCCCCAGGCCUUGACAGGCACCUGCAGCCGGCUGAACUCCCACCU
Molecule: RNA transcript, 2044 nt
Organism: Cercocebus atys (sooty mangabey)
Lineage: Eukaryota; Metazoa; Chordata; Mammalia; Primates; Cercopithecidae
Exons: 4
Source: RefSeq, a predicted model, not a curated record